UGCCUACGGGACGCAGCAGUCGGGAAUAUUGCGCAAUGGAGGAAACUUUGACGCAGUGACGCCGCGUAUAGGAAGAAGGUUUUCGGAUUGUAAACUAUUGUCGUUAGGGAAGAUAAAAGACUGUACCUAAGGAGGAAGCCCCGGCUAACUACGUGCCAGCAGCCGCGGUAAUACGUAGGGGGCAAGCGUUAUCCGGAUUUACUGGGUGUAAAGGGAGCGUAGGCGGUUUAGCAAGUCAGAAGUGAAAGCCCGGGGCUCAACUCCGGGACUGCUUUUGAAACUGUUGAACUAGAUUGCGGGAGAGG
RNAcentral lists this ribosomal RNA (305 nucleotides) under uncultured bacterium. RNAcentral's name for it is "bacterial SSU rRNA". It matches the Rfam family "Bacterial small subunit ribosomal RNA", at positions 335 to 657 of the family's 1533-position model. The record is from RNAcentral.